AAACGACUCUCGGCAACGGAUAUCUCGGCUCUCGCAUCGAUGAAGAACGUAGCGAAAUGCGAUACUUGGUGUGAAUUGCAGAAUCCCGUGAACCAUCGAGUCUUUGAACGCAAGUUGCGCCCGAAGCCAUUCGGCUGAGGGCACGUCUGCCUGGGCGUCACG
Molecule: ribosomal RNA, 162 nt
Filed under: Delarbrea harmsii
Lineage: Eukaryota; Viridiplantae; Streptophyta; Magnoliopsida; Apiales; Myodocarpaceae
Description: 5.8S ribosomal RNA
Rfam family: 5.8S ribosomal RNA
About the family: 5.8S ribosomal RNA (5.8S rRNA) is a component of the large subunit of the eukaryotic ribosome.
Source: RNAcentral